AACGUAGGUGGCAAGCGUUAUCCGGAAUUACUGGGCGUAAAGGGCUCGUAGGCGGCCAACUAAGUCGGACGUGAAAUCCCUCGGCUUAACCGGGGAACUGCGUCCGAUACUGGAUGGCUUGAGUUCGGGAGAGGGAUGCGGAAUUCCAGGUGUAGCGGUGAAAUGCGUAGAUAUCUGGAGGAACACCGGUGGCGAAGGCGGCAUCCUGGACCGACACUGACGCUGAGGAGCGAAAGCCAGGGGAGCAAACGGG
This 253-nucleotide ribosomal RNA is filed under the name uncultured bacterium. RNAcentral's name for it is "partial 16S ribosomal RNA". It matches the Rfam family "Bacterial small subunit ribosomal RNA", at positions 524 to 776 of the family's 1533-position model. The record is from RNAcentral.